CAUUGACUGCCUCCUGCAUCAUGUGCUUGUAGUCACAUGGCUCUAAUUUUUUUUUCCACUGUUAUAGCAUCUUCUACCCUUCUUAAAAGAAGGCUCAAAAACCUGAGGAUAUGCCUAGUGUUUUUCUUUAAAGCACAAAGAAGCUUUACCUAAAAAACCUUUAUGAAUUCCUGCUUUUUGAAAAGUUAAUGGAACUAUGAAGUUACAAAGAUAGUUUUACUCCCUCCUCCUUCCACAUAUUUCAGUAGCUUUGGGGUAAAUUCCACAAUAAGCUUUAAAGUGAAAUUACCUUUCAUUAAAAUAAGUAAAUAUAAUAAUAAAAAUAAAAUAUAAUAAUAAAAAUAAAAAUAAUAAAAAUAAGUAAAUAUAAUAAUGACUUCUAGCUGCAUCAGGUUUCCAACUUUUUUUUUUUUUUUUUUUAAUGAAUAUCGAAUAUGAUAAAGAAAGACAACCAUAGCUAAAGAACAAUAUGGACAACGACGACAACAAAAAAAAGGACAUUGUUGGAGAAAAUCAUACACAACAUCUGGUCUGUAAGGAAAGCACAAUGGGCAUUUGAGGUGUGCAAGCUGCUUGAUCUCUUCUUCAAGGUGAUGAAUCACAUAUGGAAUGGAGUUCGACACAUAGAUGAGAGCAGCCCUAGAGAUGAAGAGAAUGGAGUGAAAAGUAUUGAAGAAAAUAGGUGUGGUGUUCUGCACCAGCAAUACAACACGAUUCCUUGUGCCCUGGCCUCAGGAGGAAAAAGAGGGUGUCAGAGAAGCUGUCACUCCAAAAGUGAGGGAGAUGAACUUCUGUGGAAUACUGAGAGCUCUUUUAACAGUGGGGGCCUGAGUGCUUGUGUUGUGUGUGUGUGUGUGUAGCAAAGUACUUAAAUUCCAAGGUGUAUGGUGCAGCUUUCUGUCUUGAACAAUCUUGUUUAAAUUAAUGUAGCAGGAGACCUAGAAAUCCAUGACUUCCCUACCUGUUGACUGGUUACUGAAAUCGUUUUGUCUUGUAUUAAAUGACUGACAAAGUGAUUUGUGCCAACCAUUACAACCGGUAUUGGUGACAUUUGGAAAAGAUUUAUUUGGGUCAAAUAAAUAUAUGGAAUUAAAAAAAAAAAAAAAUGUG
This 1110-nucleotide long non-coding RNA is filed under the name Anas platyrhynchos platyrhynchos (common mallard). Its description in RNAcentral is "lncRNA (ENSAPLG00000026853.1)". The record is from RNAcentral. Lineage: Eukaryota; Metazoa; Chordata; Aves; Anseriformes; Anatidae.